Molecule: ribosomal RNA, 126 nt
Filed under: Escherichia coli
Lineage: Bacteria; Pseudomonadati; Pseudomonadota; Gammaproteobacteria; Enterobacterales; Enterobacteriaceae
Also listed under: 14 other names
Description: partial 16S ribosomal RNA
Rfam family: Bacterial small subunit ribosomal RNA
Source: RNAcentral
UUAAAUUGAAGAGUUUGAUCAUGGCUCAGAUUGAACGCUGGCGGCAGGCCUAACACAUGCAAGUCGAACGGUAACAGGAAGCAGCUUGCUGCUUCGCUGACGAGUGGCGGACGGGUGAGUAAUGUC